GACUGCAGGCUGCAACUCGCCUGCACGAAGUCGGAAUUGCUAGUAAUCGUAGGUCAGCAUACUACGGUGAAUACGUUCCCGGGCCUUGUACACACCGCCCGUCAAACCAUGAGAGUUGGCAACACCCGAAGUCGGUAGUCUAACCCUUAGGGGAGGGAGCUGUCGAAGGUGGGACUGAUGAUUGGGGUGAAGUCGUAACAAGGUAAC
This 207-nucleotide ribosomal RNA is filed under the name uncultured bacterium. Its description in RNAcentral is "partial 16S ribosomal RNA". It matches the Rfam family "Bacterial small subunit ribosomal RNA", at positions 1296 to 1500 of the family's 1533-position model. The record is from RNAcentral.